This is a long non-coding RNA of Triticum dicoccoides, 796 nucleotides long. RefSeq lists it as uncharacterized. Lineage: Eukaryota; Viridiplantae; Streptophyta; Magnoliopsida; Poales; Poaceae. The record is from RefSeq and is a predicted model, not a curated record. The transcript is spliced from 2 exons.
ACCUCCACCUCGUUCUAUUCGGUCGCUCAUCUCUCUCAUCCCUAUCUGCACAGGUCCCGCCCCUCCUUACUUUUCUUCCCUCCUCUGACCUCCAUGGGGACCAGCGCUGCCCAAAUUUCCCCGCCCCCGGGUUCCGGUGAGGGCUGCGGCGAUCCAUGACUGUUGGGCUUCUUUUCCUACGGGGCUGGGGAAUUGGGAGAUGCUCCUGCUGCUGCCAGUCAUGGGGGAUACAUGUUUAGACGGGAGAUGAUGAACCGGGCAAUGCACGCCGCGGCGAGGGGCGGCGACCUGGAGAUCCUCAGGGAGCUCCUGCAGGGUUGCUCCAUUGCCUCUGCGUACCAGGACGCCCAAGGCGCCACCAUCUUAAAUGUUGCGGCUUCAAGGGGCCAAGUUGAGAGAGAUGGCCAAGGACCCGCCGGCGUCCAGACCCCCUCCACACCAUCCCCAUCUCGCCAAAGACCUGCACCAAGUCUCGUCCAGCGCCCGCGCCACCCUCGACCCCCGCCCCGCAGCUCUGCAGCCCCGAGCGCUUCAGCCGCCUCGCACCCGAAGUAGAGGAGAGGAGCUCCCUGCCACGAGCCUCCCUAGUGCCAGCAAACCAGCAGGCCGACCCCGCCACCUUCUCGCUUCCCUUCUCCUUCCUUUUGCCUCCUGCGGCAUGGUCGCCGUCCCGUGUCCGGCGGUGGGGAAGGCAAAUGGAUAAGGCAGUUUAAUUAAAUACCACGGGUGUAAUUGUAACUAAUAUAGGGGUGUUUUUGUAAAAACAAAGCGUUCUCUCAUAUUUCCACUUAAAGUA